GACGAACGCUGGCGGCGUGCCUAAUACAUGCAAGUUGAGCGCUGAAGGUUGGUACUUGUACCAACUGGAUGAGCAGCGCACGGGUGAGUAACGCGUGGGGAAUCUGCCUUUGAGCGGGGGACAACAUUUGGAAACGAAUGCUAAUACCGCAUAAAAACUUUAAACACAAGUUUUAAGUUUGAAAGAUGCAAUUGCAUCACUCAAAGAUGAUCCCGCGUUGUAUUAGUUAGUUGGUGAGGUAAAGGCUCACCAAGGCGAUGAUACAUAGCCGACCUGAGAGGGUGAUCGGCCACAUUGGGACUGAGACACGGCCCAAACUCCUACGGGAGGCAGCAGUAGGGAAUCUUCGGCAAUGGACGAAAGUCUGACCGAGCAACGCCGCGUGAGUGAAGAAGGUUUUCGGAUCGUAAAACUCUGUUGGUAGAGAAGAACGUUGGUGAGAGUGGAAAGCUCAUCAAGUGACGGUAACUACCCAGAAAGGGACGGCUAACUACGUG
RNAcentral lists this ribosomal RNA (497 nucleotides) under uncultured bacterium. RNAcentral describes it as "partial 16S ribosomal RNA". It matches the Rfam family "Bacterial small subunit ribosomal RNA", at positions 28 to 507 of the family's 1533-position model. The record is from RNAcentral.